UGGAAGAUGAAAUGGCAGCAGCAAAAGGUGAGAUUUUGCGGCUACGGAGCCAAAUAAACUCAGUAAAAGCUCCAGUGGAGGAUGAGGAAAAAGUUGUUGCUGGGGAAAAGGAAAAGGUGAAGGCAACAGUAACAGCAAAGAAAACUACCAGGAGAAGGAAGAGUGCUACUGUUAAGCAAGAGGAACCCUAGUUGGCUGUUUCUGAAUGACAUAAUCUUCUUCUUUUUUUGUCCCUGACUCAUUUGUUUGCAAUAUUUAUAGAGAGGCCAGAAUUAGGACAUUGCCAUUGGAACAAGCUGUGUAUUGUCUCUUUGAGUGUACAUUUCCCGGCGAGAAGUUGCAGAAACAAAUGACUGAUCUCUUGAUAUUCAGUCAAUGUUGCAGCUUUCAUGAAUGAAA
This 399-nucleotide unclassified non-coding RNA is filed under the name Hevea brasiliensis (rubber tree). Lineage: Eukaryota; Viridiplantae; Streptophyta; Magnoliopsida; Malpighiales; Euphorbiaceae. The record is from RNAcentral.